UACAGGGGGGUGCAAACGUUGCUCGGAAUCAUUGGGCGUAAAGCGCACGUAGGCGGUUCGUUAUGUCGGAUGUGAAAGCCCUUGGCUUAACCGAGGAAGUGCAUCCGAAACUGGCGAGCUAGAGUACGAAAAGAGGAUCGCGGAAUUCCCGGUGUAGAGGUGAAAUUCGUAGAUAUCGGGAGGAACACCGGUGGCGAAGGCGGCGAUCUGGGUCGAUACUGACGCUGAGGUGCGAAAGCGUGGGGAGCAAACAGG
Molecule: ribosomal RNA, 255 nt
Filed under: uncultured bacterium
Lineage: Bacteria
Description: partial 16S ribosomal RNA
Rfam family: Bacterial small subunit ribosomal RNA
Source: RNAcentral